This 250-nucleotide ribosomal RNA is filed under the name uncultured bacterium. Its description in RNAcentral is "partial 16S ribosomal RNA". It matches the Rfam family "Bacterial small subunit ribosomal RNA", at positions 524 to 773 of the family's 1533-position model. The record is from RNAcentral.
CACGUAGGUGGCAAGCGUUGUCCGGAAUUACUGGGUGUAAAGGGAGCGCAGGCGGGAAGCCAAGUUGGAUGUGAAAUACCGCAGCUUAACUGCGGGGCCGCAUCCAAAACUGGUUUUCUUGAGUGGAGUAGAGGUAGGCGGAAUUCCUAGUGUAGCGGUGAAAUGCGUAGAUAUUAGGAGGAACACCAGUGGCGAAGGCGGCCUACUGGGCUUUUACUGACGCUGAGGCUCGAAAGCGUGGGGAGCAAAC